This 833-nucleotide long non-coding RNA is filed under the name Lactuca sativa (garden lettuce). RNAcentral describes it as "long non-coding RNA (LSAT_LNC004895)". The record is from RNAcentral. Lineage: Eukaryota; Viridiplantae; Streptophyta; Magnoliopsida; Asterales; Asteraceae.
CUGAAGCUGCGAGGAUAACUCUUGCAUCUCUGGAGGUGCAAGGCGAUAAGGCACCUUAGCGAUAGGCGCAGUCCCCGGAACCAAAUCGAUACUGAACUCCACUUGCCUCACAGGAGGCACACUCGGCAACUCCUCAGGAAAUACAUCCGGGAACUUACGCACUAUCGGAACCUCCUCAACUGACCUCGGUCUCUUGGAAUCCACCCGCGUAUCCAUCAUAUACACCACAAAACCCUUACAUCCCCNCUCGGUCUCUCGGAAUCCACCCGCGUAUCCAUCACAUACGCCACAAAACCCUUACAGCCCUGCUGUAGACACUGCCUCGCCCUAGCGGCCGAACAAAACGCUGAUCCAGAACGUGUACCCUCGCCGUACACCGUAAGAACUCCCCCACUAGGGUCUCGUAUGGUCACCAGCUGUCGCUCGCAGUCGAUAACCGCACCGAAUCUGCUCAACCAGUCCAUGCCCACAAUGACACAGACAUCACCCAUCGCAAUAGGAACCAAAUCAAUCGGGAACUCAACACCGAAAAUCUCGACUACGCACCCUCGGAGAACCUCCAUGGCAUAUAUCACCCUCUCGUCAGCUAUGGAAACUCUCAGAGGCCGACUCAACGCCUCACGACUAACACUGAUAUGCUGACUAAAAGCCAAAGAUACAAAAGACCGACUCGCACCCGAGUCAAAUAACACCAAGGCAGGUACAGAAUUCACAAGAAAAGAACCUACGCAUAACAUAAUAUAAUCAUAAUAUGUCAACAUCAAAAUAAAUACACGAAAGAAUACAUACCAUCCACGGCAUCGGGCGCUGCGAACCUCCUCCGCGGUCAACUG